UCAACUCAGUUACUCAGAUAGCCAGGCCAGGAGGCCCAGGACCAGUAUCGUCAGGAAACUUAUAAGCCAUAGAAGGUACGGGAAAGGGCAUUAGUGGGCGAUACCUCUUUCGUUUUUGUUCUUCUUCAUCUUCAGCCAGCGAGGUUUUUUCAGGAAUGGACUCCCAGAAAGCUCAGUUUGAACGACAGCAGCCUCCUUCAGCUACUUCCCCACCCAUAACUUCUUGUCGAAAAAAGAAGUCUGACGAUGCGACUUUCUUGGAAGAUAUAAAGGAUCAUAUUGAUGAGUUCAUUAGUGCAUCUGUGGAUGAACACGCCACUUGUUUUAAGAAGACUAUUCAAAAGAUGUUUGGAAUGUCAAAGAUUGUUGCAGAAAGGAGUUCAGAACAAAAAGAAGUUGAAAGUACUCUGCCCCUUCGGACAACCGUAGCCGACUAGAAUAUUUGACAUCCUUUUCUGAUCCAAGGAAUAUAAAUAUAUACAUCUUGUUAUCAGUUUUCUGUUUUGAUAAAAGAACAUGAGAAUUACUUCAUAAUAAUGGCCUGCUAGCACAUUGAAGUGUCUAGCUCAUAGAUGUGUUGAACUCUGGCCUCUGGAGUCUGGAUGUUUAGUAUAUUUUGCAACACCUAUUCCAAAAUUACAGCAGAUGCCUUCUCUUUCCAA
Long non-coding RNA from Macadamia integrifolia, 662 nucleotides. RefSeq lists it as uncharacterized. The transcript is spliced from 3 exons. Lineage: Eukaryota; Viridiplantae; Streptophyta; Magnoliopsida; Proteales; Proteaceae. The record is from RefSeq and is a predicted model, not a curated record.